CCUACGGGAGGCAGCAGUGGGGAAUAUUGGACAAUGGGCGCAAGCCUGAUCCAGCCAUGCCGCGUGUGUGAAGAAGGCCUUCGGGUUGUAAAGCACUUUAAGCGAGGAGGAAGGUCUUUGAACUAAUAUUUCAAAGAAUUGACGUUACUCGCAGAAUAAGCACCGGCUAACUCUGUGCCAGCAGCCGCGGUAAUACAGAGGGUGCAAGCGUUAAUCGGAAUUACUGGGCGUAAAGCGACGCGUAGGCGGUAUGUUAAGUCGGAUGUGAAAUCCCUGGGCUCAACCUAGGCAUUGCAUCCGAUACUGGCACACUAGAGUGUGGGAGAGGAAGGUAGAAUUCCAGGUGUAGCGGUGAAAUGCGUAGAGAUCUGGAGGAAUACCGAUGGCGAAGGCAGCCUUCUGGCCUAACACUGACGCUGAGGUGCGAAAGCAUGGGGAGCAAACAGGAUUAGAUACCCUGGUAGUCCAUGCCGUAAACGAUGUCAACUAGCCGUUGGGCUCCUUGAGGGCUUAGUGGCGCGAGCACGACGAGUAAGUUAGACCGCCCGUCGGGAGGUACGGUCGCGACGAACGUAAAACGUUAAAAGUAAGUAGUUAGGACGCGAGGAGACGCGACGACGGACGACGACGGAGGGAGGAGG
Molecule: ribosomal RNA, 641 nt
Filed under: uncultured bacterium
Lineage: Bacteria
Description: bacterial SSU rRNA
Rfam family: Bacterial small subunit ribosomal RNA (bases 1-546)
Source: RNAcentral